UAACAGUCAGUUCAUGUAAUCUUUUAUGCUUAGUCUUUCUAUUUGAAUUAUUCUUAGUCUUUCUAUUUGUAUAUUCAGUAAAUAAUUUCUUGACAGCAAUUCCAAUAAUACUGAUAAACACAAGGCAGGACCCUGCUAUGCUUAACCUUGAUGGAAAGUCUGCCAGGAUGGUCACCUGAGAAACAAUCAACACGAGGAUUAAGCAAGCUACAUUCAUUCAUUUAUUUAUUCAAGAGAAUGUUUGGUUAUAAGACACUGUGUCAGAAAUGUUAAAUUUGCAUAUCUUAUCUUUUAUAGUGUUCAAUAAAAAA
Molecule: non-coding RNA, 311 nt
Organism: Ciona intestinalis (vase tunicate)
Lineage: Eukaryota; Metazoa; Chordata; Ascidiacea; Phlebobranchia; Cionidae
Source: RefSeq, a predicted model, not a curated record